UCAAUGCACUAACCAGAAGUAAUAAAUGUUUUCUUACCUUUCCUCCUUAACAGGGAACCUGAAGAAAGACAAGUCG
Molecule: long non-coding RNA, 76 nt
Organism: Amblyraja radiata (thorny skate)
Lineage: Eukaryota; Metazoa; Chordata; Chondrichthyes; Rajiformes; Rajidae
Exons: 3
Source: RefSeq, a predicted model, not a curated record